AACACUCGACGACCUGAGGUCGUCCUCAUAUGGUACAAACGUCCUCGGCAGUUUCAGGACGUCCUCAUUUGGUCCUCUAGUCGACACUUGCAGGAUUAUCCCCAAAAUGCCCCUUUGAGACCUUUUUAAGGACGAAGAAUUGUCCUGAUAUCGUCUGCUCGAGGACGUUUUGAGGAUAUGCAUGUUUCGUAGGUGCAUGCAGCUUUCGCAAUUCGUGUUUGGUUAAUUUUCUGGCUGUUAACGAAUAAGUCCACGGGAUUUCGUAUGCCUACUUUCGAGUCAUAAUAGUAAAGUACUUCUCGAUCAUUAAAAUGAGAUAGUUACACGAGGAAGCACUUCAAGCCAACACGAGAAAGACGUGUUCUUUUAUUUAUUAUUUAUUUAUUUACUUUGUAAGUGAUCGUAGGCCAAACUUUCUGCCUGCACGUUUUCGUUGGUCGUGAUCUACCGCCGACGUGCAUACGGAAUUAUAUCGCACUGACUGUGGUCUGACCCGUUUCCCCAAUGAACGCACGUGCGGCAGACCAAGUUUGGUGCGAGUAUAAACGGUGUCGGCUCCAAAAUGAAUGCAGGCGUGAAAACUGUGAAUAGCGAGCACGUUAUUCUCGAGUGUCCAGUGUUGCAAUGCCGCACGGUCCCAUCGAGCAGACGACAACUGACCAUGCUGACGACUGGGCUGGCCUAGGUUAUCGUGAAUAGAGCAGCAUUGGAACUAGAACGCUGUGGGAAAACGAAUGGGCGACUGAAGUUGUGGUGGUGCUAACAAAAAAAAAGCAGUACCUUAAUGCGGUCACCAUGCGCAGUCAAGGUGCUUUUAAAUCUGGAUGUCUACGACACUGUUUACCCAUUUUAAAGUGACGCAACUAUCAUCAUCAUCAUUAUGGGCCUGCAGUAAGUCAAGUCGAGUCAUUGGUCGAGUCAACAUUCCAAUACAACACUUCUCGCCAUAGAGGAAGCUUCUCGCAGAAGCCCUCAAAGAAUCGUAAGCAUGCCAGGUCAAUACGUUGUCGUUCUCUUCCCAGAAGAGGAUGAUACAUCUGGGAUCAUCCUCAAAAGUUGGCUGAAAGGCGACGGCUGCCUGUGGCCUCGACAAACUAAAUAUGUACAUAGUUUGUUGAAGGCGAAAGCGACUCCAGGGGCUGACUGGAUAGAAGUGCCUUGCACUGUUGUCCGAGAAUUUGAUACAUAUGCCGAAGCACGGGCAAAUCUGCCAAGGGUAGAAAAUGGAUCCAACUUGGACGGCGAGGCAGAACUUGGGAAAGGCAGAAGAAAAAAAAAUAAGAGAUCCUAUGAGUCUGAAGAUGAUGAAGGGGCACCAUCACCUCCAGCUUCAAUGAUAAGACGGAGAAAACACAAGCGACCAAGAAAUUUAGAGAAUCGGCCACUGCCCACCCAGCCACGGUCAUUGGAACAUGAAGGGUAUGCAGACAAGGCAGGGCGGCAACCACUGCAGCAGCAUCGCACCACAGGCCAGGAAGGGGCUUUAUUGACUAGAUCCAAUAUCAGUGAAGUGCCUGCGUUCGACUCCAGUUCACCAGCAGGCAUUAGGCCAUCACAAAGAGCCCCUUCACCGAGAAUGGCAUCACCUGAGGGUCAAAAUGUUUACAGAGGUUCAUACAGCAACAACUGCAGACCUCUGGACAAUCUUGAAGGGCCACCAUUUCAGCAGCAUUACAGCAGUCAGCAAGGGGCUUCAUGGACUGCACCCAAUAAUUGCCACGAGCCUGGCUUAGGCUUUCCCUCAACAUCAUCUAUGCCUGCUCAGAGAGCAGGAUAUAAUGAGGGGCAAAAUGUCAUCAGGAAUUCUCCUACCAGUAGACACACACCUUCCAAUUCCCCUAGCACUAGAAGCAUACCUUUUGGGACUGCACACAAUAAUACCCAUGGGUCUUCAUUAGGCUUCCCCUCUAGCAAUAGAAGCUCACCUCCUGGUAAGUAACAUUAAAGCUUUCUUACCCGGGUGCCACUUCAGAGGUGAAGACAAUCUUUGUAUUUAUUGUCUAGGGAAUACAGUUUUUUUUCUCUUUAGAUUAAAAUCUUUGCAAGUGCUAAGCAAAACGUUUUGUCUUAUAGCUGUGCCAGUCGUAAGCAGCAUAAUUGCUUAUUUGCAAUUUCGGAACAAUGUACUAACUGUAGUUGCUUUAUCAAGUGUAAAUACCUGAUGUCUCAGAAAAAUUGAAGCGAAGGUGCCACAAUUAAUACUUUUAAUUCAUAAACAACUGUUGUCGCCUAUUUAGUGUAGAGAACAUGCCUCUUGAUCACAGUGGAAAUGAGGACUGUGUGUCACUUUGAUGGCGAUGAGCACGCUUUUACCCCAUAAAUGAAGAGUUAUAUUUUAAACAUUUUUUUUUUGCUUUCGUUGGGAAAGUGAUAGUGGCAUCACUUUGCUGCAAAAACUAUGGCAACUGUUAUAUGUAUGGUCUGGUCACACAUUGUUUCAGUGCUUAAAACAUUAAAGUAUCUGUUUCUGCUUAUUCUAUUUUUCACAAAUUCACUUAAUAACCUAACUUUCAACAAUUUUUCUGAACUUAUUCCAAGUUUUUGUUGAAAACUAGGUUGUAAAUAUAUGGGUACACUGAAUCACAGCACGCAAUGAAGGUGCUUCAUCUCAGUGUCAACUCUGCAUGCGUAUUCAGGUCCUAAAAAGGCAUCACUGAGCAUGCUAACAAAAUAACUGAAGCCAUGUAGGCACAAAUUUCUAAAACCGACAAUAAUGUGCAGAGAAGCCAUAAACAACUGUGUGCUUGUUUUGCUGUGUUUAGUAGCACUUCUCAUUUUCAAUGUUAUCUCAGCUUUUGCCAUUUUAUAUGUUGCAAUUCAGCGCUAUUACUUCAUGAACACGUCUUUACAGAACACGUCUUUACAGAAUGCGAAUGCGAAUUUCGCAAACUAUCCUGAUGAGGCUAGAGCAGCUGGGACGACAGGUUGAUGCCAUGCAGCAGCACCUUUUCAACACAACAGUGAGGCUUCAAGAUGAGACAAAUGAUGAUGUGGUUUUGACACCGGUCAAGGAUAUUGACCAAUUUCUAAGUCUUGAGGGGAGACUUGCUGCUGAUGGCAACAUUAAGCUAAAGCUUAUACAGCAGCUUGCUGGCCUUGGUGGCUCAACUUUUGGGGCAGCAGCCAGGAGGAUGCUGGAGCUUCUGCUAAGCCUUGAGGUUGCUGUGCAGUUCAGCUGGGCAGGCCAAAAAGGCAAAAGGAAGUUUGUGGAUCUAGGUGUCACAGAUGUCAUUUGCAAGGCCGUGAGGCGAAAUUUUCCGGAAACAAAAAAAAAUGACAUCGAGUGUGUGAUUAAAGUGUGGCUUCGGCAUGCUGGGGAAAAGCUCCAGAAGCAGCGCUUAAGAACUUCUCGCACUCACCAUGAGGAAUGUCUUCAAAGUGUCGCGUUGUCAAGCCCAUCGGAUGAAGACCUCUGAAGGCACAGGGCAAGAAGUCUCAUCUAGUGAAAACUGCCAAGUUUCAUUCCUGAAAAUAAACAUGUUUUCUGUGCA
Molecule: unclassified non-coding RNA, 3491 nt
Filed under: Rhipicephalus microplus (southern cattle tick)
Lineage: Eukaryota; Metazoa; Arthropoda; Arachnida; Ixodida; Ixodidae
Description: uncharacterized LOC119167237, transcript variant X1
Source: RNAcentral